CUACAAUGAUGGUAAUAUUUUUCAUCAACAGAGUUCACCACCUAAUGAGUAUUGAUACUUUAGGUCUGAGUGA
Small nucleolar RNA from Nannospalax galili (Upper Galilee mountains blind mole rat), 73 nucleotides. RefSeq annotates it as small nucleolar RNA SNORD56. The transcript has a single exon. The record is from RefSeq and is a predicted model, not a curated record. Lineage: Eukaryota; Metazoa; Chordata; Mammalia; Rodentia; Spalacidae.